UAAAGGUUUGGUCCUGGCCUUUUUAUUAGUUGAUAGUAAAAUUAUACAUGCAAGUCUCAGCAACCCUGUGAGAAUACCCUUUAAAUCUAUAAGAUCAAAAGGAGUGGAUAUCAAGCACGCCAUUAGGCAGCUAAUAACAUCUUGCUAAGCCACACCCCCACGGGUUACAGCAGUAACAAAAAUUUAGCAAUUAACGAAAGUUAGACUAAGUUAUACUAUUAUAGGGUUGGUAAAUUUCGUGCCAGCCACCGCGGUCAUACGAUUAACCCAAACUAAUAAAUAUCGGCGUAAAGCGUGCUCAUGGAUAAAAAUUAAUAAUAAAGAUAAAUUACUUCUACACUGUAAAAAGUUAUAGAAUUACUGAAAAUAAACUACGAAAGUGACUUUACUAUGCCUUAUAGCACGAUAGCUAAGACACAAACUGGGAUUAGAUACCCCACUAUGCUUAGCCCUAAACCUUAAUAAUUUUAAACAAAAUUAUUCGCCAGAGAACUACUAGCAAUAGCUUAAAACUUAAAGGACUUGGCGGUGCUUUAUAUCCACCUAGAGGAGCCUGUUAUAUAAUCGAUAAACCCCGAUAUACCUCACCACUACUUGCUAAUUCAGUCUAUAUACCGCCAUCUUCAGCAAACCCUUAAAAGGUGAAAUAGUAAGCUUAAUAAUUUCCAUAAAAACGUUAGGUCAAGGUGUAGCCUAUGUAGUGGAACUCAAUGGGCUACAUUUUCUGACCCAGAAUAUUUUACGGAUAUUUUCAUGAAAUUGAAAAUUAAAGGAGGAUUUAGUAGUAAACUAAGAAUAGAGAGCUUAGUUGAAUUAGGCCAUGAAGCACGUACACACCGCCCGUCACCCUCCUCAAGUAUAUAAAUUAUUUUAACCAUAUUACCUUAUAAUAAACUACAAGAGGAGAUAAGUCGUAACAAGGUAAGCAUACUGGAAAGUGUGCUUGGAAAACC
This is a non-coding RNA of Chrysochloris asiatica (Cape golden mole), 953 nucleotides long. NCBI's taxonomy places the organism in Eukaryota, Metazoa, Chordata, Mammalia, Afrosoricida, Chrysochloridae. The record is from the annotation of a RefSeq genome assembly.